GCAGCUCAGUGGUAGAGCAUUUGCCUAGCAUGUAGGAGGCCCCAGGGUUCAAUUCCCAGUGCA
RNAcentral lists this transfer RNA (63 nucleotides) under Urocitellus parryii (Arctic ground squirrel). RNAcentral describes it as "Spermophilus parryii (Arctic ground squirrel) tRNA". It matches the Rfam family "tRNA". Rfam says of the family: Transfer RNA (tRNA) molecules are approximately 80 nucleotides in length. Their secondary structure includes four short double-helical elements and three loops (D, anti-codon, and T loops). Further hydrogen bonds mediate the characteristic L-shaped molecular structure. tRNAs have two regions of fundamental functional importance: the anti-codon, which is responsible for specific mRNA codon recognition, and the 3' end, to which the tRNAs corresponding amino acid is attached (by aminoacyl-tRNA synthetases). tRNAs cope with the degeneracy of the genetic code in two manners: having more than one tRNA (with a specific anti-codon) for a particular amino acid; and 'wobble' base-pairing, i.e. permitting non-standard base-pairing at the 3rd anti-codon position. RNAcentral also lists the same sequence under 2 other names. The record is from Rfam by way of RNAcentral. Lineage: Eukaryota; Metazoa; Chordata; Mammalia; Rodentia; Sciuridae.